AUGCCCAAGGACACCCAGACCCACAACCAGCCCAUGGAGGAGGAGGAGGUGGAGACCUUCACCUUCCAGGGAGAGAUUGCCCAGCUGCUGUCAUUGAUCAUCAACAUUUUCUACUUGAACAAAGAGCUCUUCCUGUGGAAGCUGAUUUCCAAUUCAUCCUACRACCUGGACAAAAUCAGAUAUGAAAGCUUGGCCUAUCCCAGUAAGCUGGACUCCGGGAAGGAGCUUCACAUCAAUCUCAUUCCAAACAAACAAGACUGAACCCUCAGGAUUGUGGAUGCUGGAAUUGGAAUGACCAAGGCCAAAUUGAUCAGUAAGCUUGGUACUAUGCCACGUCUGGGACCAAAGCAUUCAUGGAGGUUUUGCAGGCUGGCGCAGACAUCUCCAGUUUGGUGUUGGUUUUUAUUCUGCGUAUUUGGUUGCCAAGAAAGUGGCUGUAAUCCCCAAACAACGAUGAGGAGCAGUAUGCCUCAGAAUCCUCUGCAGGGGGCUCCUUCCCUGUCAGGACUGACACGGAGGAACCAAUGGGUCAUGGGACAAAGGUUAUCCUACAUCUGAAAGACCCAACUGAGUACUUGAUGGAAAGAAGAAUAAAGAAGAUUAUGAAAAAACAAAUUCCCAGUUUAUUAGCUAUUCCAUUACUCAGUGGAGAAGGAACCUGAUAAUGAAGUCAGUGAUAAGGAUGCUAAAGAAAAUGAAGAUAAAGAGGAGGAAAAAAGAAAAAAGGAGACAAACUGAAAUUGAAGAUGUUCUGACGAUGAAGAAAAGAAAGAUGGUGGGAAAAAGAAGGAGAAGGAGAAGAAGAAGAUUAAGGAGAAGUACCUCAGUCACAAAGAACUCAACAAAACAAAGCCCAUUUGGACCAGAAAUUCUGACAAUAUCACUAACAAAGAAUAUGGAGAGUUCUAUAAGGGCUUGACCAACAAUUGGGAAGAUCACUUAGCAGUGAAACAUUUUUCCGUCAAAGGACAGUUAGAACUCAGAGCUCUUCUUUUUGUCCCAAGACAUGCUCCUUUUGACCUCUUUGAAAACAGGAAGAAAAAGAACAGCAUUAAGUUGUAUAUAUGCAGAGUUUUCAUCAUGGAUAACUCUGAGGAGCUAAUCCCUGAAUAUCUGAACUUCAUUAGAGAAGUGGUGGCCUUCGAGGAUCUUCCUCUAAAUUUUUCCCAUGAAAUGUUGCAACAGAGCAAAAUUUUGAAAGUCAUUAGAAAGAAUUUGGUCAAAAAAUGCUUAGAACUGUUCACUGAACUGGCAGAAAAUAAAGAGUACUACAAAAAAUCCUAUAAGCAAUUUUUUAAAAAUGUAAAGCUUAGAAUAUAUGAAGACUCUCAAAAUUGAAAGCUUUCAGAGCUGUUAGGAUACUAGAUGUCUGCUUCUGGGGAUAAAAUGGUUCCUCUCAAGGACUGUUGCACCAGAAUGAAGUAAAACCAGAAACACAUCKACCAUAUCACAGGUGAGACCAAAGAUCAGGUAGCUAACUUUGCCUUUGUGGAGCAUCAGUGGAAUAGUGAUKUGAAAGUGGCCUACCUGAUUGAGCCCAUCUAUGAAUGCUGUGUCCUACAUCUAAAGAAAUUUGAGGGGAAGACUUCAGUGUCUGUCACCAAAGAGGGCUUGAAACUUCCAGAGGAUGAAGAAGAAAAGAAACAGGAAGAAAAAAAGACAAAGUUUGAAAACCUGUGCAAGAUCAUGAAGGACAUCUUGGAGAAAAAGAUUGAAAAAGUGGUUGUGUCAAAUCAAUUGGUGGCCUCCCCRUGCUUUAUCAUCACAAGCACAUAUGGCUGGACAGCAAACAUGGAAAGACUCAUGAAAGCUCAAGCUCUGAGAGACAAUUCAACAAUGGGCUACAUCAAAGCCAAGAAACACCUGGAGAUAAAUAAACCAAACCACUCCAUUAUUGAGACCUCAAGGCAAAAGGUGGAGGCCCACAAGCAUGGUAGGUCUGUGAAAGAUCUGGUCAUCUUACUGUAUGAAACUGCACUCCUGUCUUCUGGCUUCAGUUUGGAAGAUCUCCAGACCCAUGAUAACAGGAUCUACAGGAUGAUCAAACUUUGUCCAAGUAUUGAUGAGGAUGCUCUCACGGCUGGUGACACCAGCCAUGCUGUAACGGAAGAGAUGCAGCUCCUGGAAGGAGAUGAGGACAGGUCGUGCAUGGAAGAAGUAGACUAA
Urocitellus parryii (Arctic ground squirrel) is the source of this 2166-nucleotide non-coding RNA. Lineage: Eukaryota; Metazoa; Chordata; Mammalia; Rodentia; Sciuridae. The record is from RefSeq and is a predicted model, not a curated record.